This 422-nucleotide ribosomal RNA is filed under the name uncultured prokaryote. RNAcentral's name for it is "bacterial SSU rRNA". It matches the Rfam family "Bacterial small subunit ribosomal RNA", at positions 355 to 774 of the family's 1533-position model. The record is from RNAcentral.
UGAGGAAUAUUGGUCAAUGGUCGCAAGACUGAACCAGCCAAGUAGCGUGAGGGAAGACUGCCCUAUGGGUUGUAAACCUCUUUUAUCUGGGAAUAAAGUGAGCCACGUGUGGCUUAUUGCAGGUACCAGAAGAAUAAGGACCGGCUAAUUCCGUGCCAGCAGCCGCGGUAAUACGGAAGGUCCAGGCGUUAUCCGGAUUUAUUGGGUGUAAAGGGAGCGUAGGCCGCUGGGUAAGCGGGCAGUGAAAUGCAGAGGCUCAACCUCUGACUUGCUGUUCGAACUGCCAGGCUUGAGUACGCACGAGGUAGGCGGAAUUGGUGGUGUAGCGGUGAAAUGCUUAGAUAUCACAAAGAACUCCAAUUGCGAAGGCAGCUUACCGGAGCGCAACUGACGCUGAAGCUCGAAAGUGCGGGUAUCGAACA